Molecule: transfer RNA, 66 nt
Filed under: Stolotermes ruficeps
Lineage: Eukaryota; Metazoa; Arthropoda; Insecta; Blattodea; Termopsidae
Description: tRNA-Pro
Rfam family: tRNA
About the family: Transfer RNA (tRNA) molecules are approximately 80 nucleotides in length.
Source: RNAcentral
CAGGGGAUAGUUUAAGUUAAAAUAUUAAUUUUGGAGAUUAGUGAUGGGUGUUACUCUUUUCCCUGA